GCGGCCGCCGGAGCUGCUGGCGCGGGGGCGCGGCGCGGGACGCGGGCUUGUGCGGAGAGACACCCUGACGUCAGGGCGGGUGAUGCGGCCUCUUAAAGGGGACGCGGGAAGCCCCGCCCUGGGCGCAAGCGGGAGGCAGUACAACUUAACUACUUAAGAUGAAGAGAAGUCCCUACAGCUUGACUGGAAUACUGGAAUGGAGUUGAUACGAGUUAUUACUACUGUAACAGCAUUUAAUCUUCUAUUUUCAAAAGCAAAAAAAAAAAAAAGCCAAAUGUGAACUUGGCAUUCACACAAUUAUCAUGGAGAUUCGAGGUUUUCGUUCUAACAAAAAAUGUAAUGAGGAAAGGCAAGAGAGCAAGUUGUACAAACACCACAUAGGGACAAAGGGUGGAUAGGAUUGGGUGAAGGGCCUAGAGCAGCACCAGAAAUCUUCAGUGCUCUUAUAAACAGCCACUUCAAGUUUUUUCUUGUACUGAAGAACUUGUGGGAGAGACUCGGAUGCUGGCCACGCCACGCCUGCAUGUGUG
RNAcentral lists this long non-coding RNA (530 nucleotides) under Rattus norvegicus (Norway rat). Its description in RNAcentral is "long non-coding RNA NONRATT023363". The record is from RNAcentral. Lineage: Eukaryota; Metazoa; Chordata; Mammalia; Rodentia; Muridae.